UACGUAGGGUGCGAGCGUUAAUCGGAAUUACUGGGCGUAAAGCGUGCGCAGGCGGUUUUGUCAGCCAGGUGUGAAAGCCCCGGGCUCAACCUGGGAACUGCGUCCGAUACUGGCAGGCUUGAAUCCGGGAGAGGGAUGUGGAAUUCCAGGUGUAGCGGUGAAAUGCGUAGAUAUCUGGAGGAAUACCGGUGGCGAAGGCGGCAUCCUGGACCGGCAUUGACGCUGAGGAGCGAAAGCCAGGGGAGCAAACGGG
Molecule: ribosomal RNA, 253 nt
Filed under: uncultured bacterium
Lineage: Bacteria
Description: partial 16S ribosomal RNA
Rfam family: Bacterial small subunit ribosomal RNA
Source: RNAcentral